CGAGUAAACAAGGCAGCCGCGGGAACAUGACCGCGAGGCGGUUUUCGAGGAAAGUCCGAGCUCCGCAGGGCAGGGUGCUGGGUAACGCCCAGUGGGGGUGACCCUAAGGCCAGUGCCACAGAAAAUAUACCGCCUCCUACUGGAAGUUAGAGAUUAGAAGUUAGAGGUUGGAGGGACACAGCGGCCGGCAGCAGAUGCUGGUAUAAAAGAGGUUUUUCUAACAUCUGACCUCCAGUUUCCAAUCUCCAGUAUGGGGUAAGGGUGCAACGGUGCGGUAAGAGCGCACCAGAAACCGGGAGACCGGUUUGCUAGGUAAACCCCACCCGGAGCAAGACCAAAUAGGAGGGGGAUGAGGUUGCCCGCCGACUCCUCGGGUUUGGUCGCUGGAGGCAUCAGGCAACUGGUGCCCAAGAUAGAUGGUUGCCAAAAACAGAACUCGGCUUAUCAGUUUGCUCGGGUU
This 460-nucleotide RNase P RNA is filed under the name Bacillota bacterium. RNAcentral's name for it is "Firmicutes bacterium (anaerobic digester metagenome) RNase P RNA component class A". It matches the Rfam family "Bacterial RNase P class A". From Rfam's summary of the family: Ribonuclease P (RNase P) is a ubiquitous endoribonuclease, found in archaea, bacteria and eukarya as well as chloroplasts and mitochondria. Lineage: Bacteria; Bacillati; Bacillota. The record is from RNAcentral.